This is a non-coding RNA of Chromobacterium sp., 84 nucleotides long. The record is from Rfam. Lineage: Bacteria; Pseudomonadati; Pseudomonadota; Betaproteobacteria; Neisseriales; Chromobacteriaceae.
CUCUAUGGCGGGCCAUGGUGGGAGCAUCUAUGAUGCGCCGCUCCUGGAUCGGUACGCCAAUCCCGCCAUGUGCCUGCCACCCCU